UACGAAGGGGGCUAGCGUUGUUCGGAAUUACUGGGCGUAAAGCGCACGUAGGCGGAUACUUAAGUUAGGGGUGAAAUCCCAGAGCUCAACUCUGGAACUGCCUCUAAUACUGGGUAUCUCGAGUUCGAGAGAGGUGAGUGGAAUUCCGAGUGUAGAGGUGAAAUUCGUAGAUAUUCGGAGGAACACCAGUGGCGAAGGCGGCUCACUGGCUCGAUACUGACGCUGAGGCGCGAAAGCGUGGGGAGCAAACAGG
RNAcentral lists this ribosomal RNA (253 nucleotides) under uncultured bacterium. RNAcentral describes it as "partial 16S ribosomal RNA". It matches the Rfam family "Bacterial small subunit ribosomal RNA", at positions 524 to 776 of the family's 1533-position model. The record is from RNAcentral.